GUGACCACAUCAAGGUGCUAGGAGGGAGCAUCACACCCCCUCCCCCAUCGACCAAGACUUGCCCAUGAAUCUCUUCUGCAUGUCUGUUCCUGAGUUGUAUCCUUUGUAGUAAUCCAGUCAAUUUAAGAGAAGUGUUUUCCUGAGCUCUGUGAGUCAUUCUAGCAAACUAUUGAACAGGAGGAGGGUUUCAUAGUAACUCUGGAUUUAUAGCCAGUCUUUCAGAUGUAUGGGAGGUUCAAACGUGCAACGGCAUCAGAAAUGAGGACAGUCUUGCGGGACUGAGCCCUUUUACUUAUGGGAUCUGAUGCUAAUGCCAGGUAGUUAGCGUUAAAAUUCAAUUAAACUGUCGGACAUCCAGCAAGGGCCCAGGAAGCUGGAGAAUCACUUGGUGUGUUAAAAAAAAAAAAAAACAAAAAAAAAAAAACAAAAAAAAAAAACACAUUUGCUAUCGGAAGCGGCGUACUGAGAGUGGCAGGAGGCAGCCAAAUGCUUAGGCAGAUAGGGGCAGGUCCCUAGUGAAACCCCACCUCCAACUGAAUACCAACCCGUAAAGCCUGAAAGCUAAGCUACACGUUAAAUCCUCAGACAGAAUUGAGAACUUGUCUUCCUGUUUGGCGUGCUUUCCUCUGAUUGGUCCCCACCCUUCACCUGUGGUAUAUGUACCUAGCUUUCCCAAUUGGCUUUUCUACACUGUUUGCCAUGCCCACCUUUGAUGGUGUCUUUGCUUUAACCUUGUGUUCAUACUCACAAACCAGUCAGCAUGCACUUUACAUUCUAGAGUCCAUAAAAGGCCAGGACCCAGACGCACGGGGGUCUUUCACACCUUCAGGAAAGGAAAAUUGUGAUGGGUCAUCAUCUUGUCUACGCGAUUUCACUUGCAAAAUUCCCUUAGUGCAUAAAUUACUUCAAUUUCAAAUGAGACAACAUGAAUACCACAUUACAACCUGAUACAUUUUGGUUCUCAUUCAGGAUAAAAGAAGAAUAAAAUCCAUAUGAACUAUUCAAAAUCUCCUUUUUGAUCACGUUUUUCAGGAUCUCCUCCUACCAAUACGCUCUUUCCUUCAUUCUUCUUUACAUUUACUCCUCCGAGGUGUCAUUUCUACAGGAAACUGAAAAGCAGGAACCUGGUUUUGAGAUCUUUGAUACGCUCAGUAUGUGACUCCAUUCCCAAAGUCCUUUGUUUCAACUGAAAUCGUUUUAGUCUUUUAUGCUUUUUGUUCAUACUCCAGGCUCACAUAAAUAGAAAUGCUUGACUACAAGAUUUUGCAUUCAAUUUUUAGGUCGAAGGUUGAAUCAUCUUUCUUCUGAAAAUGUCUAACUCAAAACUUUGCAAGUCAUUUGAAAACCUGUUCUUUAUUAUUUUCUGUGACCCAAACAAUUAACCAAGUCAGAGGGACAGAUGAGGAAGAAGUAAGGAAAUAGCGGGAAUUUUUCCACAGAAAUAAUUUGUGAGUGCAUUACUUUCUCUCUCUCUCUCUUCGCUACCAAAUAUCUAUCUUAGAGAGUCUUAAAAUUCAUACAUUAUUUUACUUGAGUAAAUGAUAGAAAAUAGUAUAAUAAAAUUUAAGGUACAUUUAUGUCUUUACAUAUAAAUAAACAUUAUCCUACUAAAGCAAGGAUGUAAAAGAGAUGACUCUUGCCUCUCUUUUGAUCUAGAAAAAAAUGAUGCAGAGGCUACUGAGGCAGGAGAAUAGUAUCUGGAGUCAGGGAACGUAGGCAGCUGAUACGUGUUGACUUCUUAAAGCUGAAUCAAGGGAAAAAAAAAAAAACCAUCAAGGUCCGGGGGCAAGGAAUCUGAGGACAAUUCGUGAUAAUUUCCUAAAGUUAAAUCAAAGGGAAAACACCUGGGUUUGGGGUCAGAGAACCUAAAACCAAUUAAUGUGAACUUCCUAAAACUAAACCAAAAGGGAAAACCCUGUCUCCCCACGCCCCAGAAAGCAGGGAUCAAAGGCUACUCUCUCUUACAACCCUCCCGCUUCCACGACGUCUCAGAUGGAAAGGGAGUGUGCCUUGGAUUGGGCAAGGGCCAAGCAAGGGCCACCCCUUCAUCUGCAUAGGGCGCCAAUCUCCUUGGCCUUGGGUUAGCCAUGGGCCAAUCCCCUCAGUCUUUAAUUGGCCACGGACCAAAUCCUUUAUCUAGAUAAGGGUAACUGAUAGGGGCCUCAAAAGGAGCACUUAAAACCCAGAAAACUUUGUCACUGGGCCCUUAAUCUCCUGGCUCGUCCCUACUCCCACACUGUGAGUGCUUUCUUGCUUUAAUAAAUACCUGCUUUUGCUGCUUCAUUUCUGUGUUUCUUUCCAAAGUAACAAAUUUGUGCAUUUCGUUCAAUUCUUCGUUCAAAAUGCCAAGAACCCGAACAACUCACUCAAGGCCUUCUUUCCCGUAACACCACCGUCAUCUUAUUUUGAUGAUGUUUAUUGUUCAAAAAUUCAAGUCUAUGUCCUGAUUAAUGCUCUUAGGUUUCUCUGCCUAACUUCUAAAGGGUAUUUGUCAGAUUAACUUACACAAUAUUUUGUUCCAACUCUACUGUUUCAUCGUAAGAACACUCCUAAUGUGCCUGAUGAAUAUCACUCUUGACAUCAGUCAAUAUACUCCUUUAUGUUGUUCUUUGAGGAAAUAAUGUUGAGAAAAAUAAUAUCCAGGAAAGAUCCCCUAAGAGUUUACUCUACAUAGUUUAAUUUCUCCCUUGC
Callithrix jacchus (white-tufted-ear marmoset) is the source of this 2691-nucleotide long non-coding RNA. RefSeq lists it as uncharacterized. Lineage: Eukaryota; Metazoa; Chordata; Mammalia; Primates; Cebidae. The record is from RefSeq and is a predicted model, not a curated record.